RNAcentral lists this ribosomal RNA (450 nucleotides) under uncultured bacterium. RNAcentral describes it as "bacterial SSU rRNA". It matches the Rfam family "Bacterial small subunit ribosomal RNA", at positions 354 to 796 of the family's 1533-position model. The record is from RNAcentral.
GUGGGGAAUUUUGGACAAUGGGCGCAAGCCUGAUCCAGCAAUGCCGCGUGCAGGAAGAAGGCCUUCGGGUUGUAAACUGCUUUUGUACGGAACGAAACGGUCCUGGCUAAUAUCCGGGGCUAAUGACGGUACCGUAAGAAUAAGCACCGGCUAACUACGUGCCAGCAGCCGCGGUAAUACGUAGGGUGCGAGCGUUAAUCGGAAUUACUGGGCGUAAAGCGUGCGCAGGCGGUGCUGUAAGACAGGCGUGAAAUCCCCGGGCUCAACCUGGGAAUUGCGCUUGUGACUGCAGUGCUGGAGUGCGGCAGAGGGGGAUGGAAUUCCGCGUGUAGCAGUGAAAUGCGUAGAUAUGCGGAGGAACACCGAUGGCGAAGGCAAUCCCCUGGGCCUGCACUGACGCUCAUGCACGAAAGCGUGGGGAGCAAACAGGAUUAGAAACCCGAGUAGUCC